This 253-nucleotide ribosomal RNA is filed under the name uncultured bacterium. RNAcentral's name for it is "partial 16S ribosomal RNA". It matches the Rfam family "Bacterial small subunit ribosomal RNA", at positions 524 to 776 of the family's 1533-position model. The record is from RNAcentral.
UACGUAGGGUGCGAGCGUUAAUCGGAAUUACUGGGCGUAAAGCGUGCGCAGGCGGUUGUGCAAGACAGAUGUGAAAUCCCCGGGCUCAACCUGGGAAUUGCAUUUGUGACUGCGCGGCUAGAGUGUGUCAGAGGGGGGUAGAAUUCCACGUGUAGCAGUGAAAUGCGUAGAUAUGUGGAGGAAUACCGAUGGCGAAGGCAGCCCCCUGGGAUAACACUGACGCUCAUGCACGAAAGCGUGGGGAGCAAACAGG